Molecule: long non-coding RNA, 2212 nt
Organism: Malania oleifera
Lineage: Eukaryota; Viridiplantae; Streptophyta; Magnoliopsida; Santalales; Ximeniaceae
Exons: 3
Source: RefSeq, a predicted model, not a curated record
CAAGUCAGCUUUAGGCUUGGCAUUCGUACUAUCUUUUACUCUCUAGGGUUUAGAAACUACAUUUCUAAGCUAGAUCUACUAUUCUUUUGCAAAAAAAUAUGGAAGUUCAAUCCCUGAAUCAAGGCCUUGAAUGAUUGGAGCCCCCAAACACAAUAUGUUGAACAAUUAUAAAAUAUGAUUUUGAUUUUGCCUUUUUUGUUUUUAUUUUUAUUUUUUCAAAUUCCUUCUUCUUCUUCAUCAUCAUCUUCUUCUUCUUGUCUUGUUUGCUUUGAUUAGAGCCUAAAAUCAAAAUUUCAAAAGAUUGGAGCCUUUAAAACACAAUCGACUUGAUUGUGAUAAAGUCAAAAUUUUUUUUCUCUAUUUUAUGUUUUUUCCACAUUAAUUCCAUCUUGAUUUAUGCAAGCGAUUAUUGAUUUUGGAGCAUUCAAAACAUGAUCUACUCAAUUGAGAGCUUGAAAUGAAGGCUUCAAAGGAAUGGUGCCUAAGAAACACAAUCUACUUAAUUAUGCAAUGAACAUGAAGACCGUCCAAGACCUUUGCGAGACAUUGAUAACCUAAAGGGUGAAACUGACAUAACUGAAAGGAAGGCAAUUCCUUCUUGGGAUUAUGAUGUAAGAAAAUCAUAUUUUUAGUUUCAACUAAAACUUGUCAUCUCUCUUUUGUGGUUUGACUGCUGCUUCUGGGGCGUCUUCAUUACUUAUAACAUAAGAGAAGAAACAAAUAUUAUUAAUAUAUUAUGUACUGAGUAUUGCCUCUCUAGGAAAUAUGAUUGGAGGUUGAAUUCUACUUCUUUCAAUUUCUAUGUCUAGAAUAUUUUCGUCCAAGAUGUUUAGGUUGAACGCCUCUGAAGUUAGAGUUUGCUAAGGCAUUCAAGUUUUGUUUCUCAUGAAAAGAAAUGUUGUCGUAUGUGGAAGAGAACUCCACCAUGUCGUAGGAGACAAGUGGAUGGUGGAAAUUCAAGGAAAAGAAAGCGAACAAAGCCUGAAUAUAUAGCCCAAGACAAGCUUCUAAAAGGUUUAGUUUUGUAUCUAAUUUUCCAUUUUGCAAAAUGAUCUUCUACAUAUUUUCUUGUUUUUGUUUCAUAUCGAAUCAUUACAUAAAUCCAGCUUGCCCAUCAUGACUUUUCAUUUUACUAAGAUUGUUUCCAAACAUGGUAUGUUUCUAAGGUUUUUGUCACUUCUAAUUGUUCAAAUAUGUACAGUUCAACUAUCAUAUCUGCAGAAAGGUGAUGACUCUCCCACUUACUACCCCCUAUACUCAUAACUUCAGUAAGGGUUGUCUGGAGGGUGUCUUUGCUUGUCAAACUUUCAUGAGGCAAAGAACAUGCGAAGGUAGGAGGACGUUACGAACACAAAAUAAUAUCAUGAAAUGCCCAUCUUUCUCAAACGUAAUAUAGGACUUUCUAAAAAAUCCACAGGUAUAUUUGGCAAUUCUGUUAAAACUUCAAUUUCACAAAGGGAAAGCAUGGAUGCUCGUCUUUAAGAGACUAAUCUUAACUAUUGUGAAAUAUUCUUGAGGGGCUACCUCUAUGGAAGAUUUUUUUAUGAUCUUGAUUUAUAAAGUUUUAGGCUAUGUCUACUAAUCACUUGUAAUGUUUUUAUUAGGAUUCACACUGUAAUUUGAUCAGUGCAUUUGCAUUAUGAUUUUUAAAUAUAUAAAACACACCAACACACUACAACUUAACUGAUUGAUGAUGUAAUAUCUUAUUUGUCCUUGAUCUCUCUCUUAACACGGACAAUUUUUUGCUAGAAUGUUAAAACAAUUGAAAUAGUAAAUGUUGCUACUUUCCCUUGAAGACAGUUGUGCUUCUUUGAUAGGUUAACAGAGAAUUGAUGAGUGUAAUUGAAUUGCUUCAAAGGAGGGUUGAAGUGGCAUAGGAAAUGGCUGAGUCAUCAGGUGAUGAAGUUGAUAGCAUGGAGGAGAGCUCAGAUGAAAUUGCUGGAGAGGCAUAAACAUUCUAUCUUAAUUUUGGGUGUUUGUAGGAUGUCAAAGGGGUCACUCCACAUCCUCCAACUAUAAUCAAAGCUCCAUAAACUCAAAGCAAAAAAGAGCAAGGUAAGUGCUUGCCAAACCUCAGGGGAGGGGGUGCUCAAAGAUGAUAAAAAUGCUGAAAUGAAAUUGAAGUACUUUCUUGUUAUACCUCAAAUGCUUAAAUAAUAAAAUAGUUAUAAAUUAUAAAAAUACUAUGAUGCAAUUGUGAUAUGAUUAUUGA